Xenia sp. Carnegie-2017 is the source of this 317-nucleotide long non-coding RNA. RefSeq lists it as uncharacterized. Lineage: Eukaryota; Metazoa; Cnidaria; Anthozoa; Malacalcyonacea; Xeniidae. The record is from RefSeq and is a predicted model, not a curated record. The transcript has 3 exons.
GUCAUAUAUGAAGUCUUAUUUCUAAAACAAAGCUGUAUCCAGUAACACAGAAAGUGAAUCAGAAUGAUCUCGUGUUGAGCCCAUCCUUUACAUUUGAAUACACAGUCUACAUUACAAUACAACGAAAGACAUAAAUUAAGAAAUAUUUCAUUAUAAAACUGUGAAUUUACGUUGUGGAACGAAGAAAUAAGUGUCGAAAUAUAGAAAUAGUCGUUUUGUGUCAUAUUUGUUUGAAGUUCAAACAAAGGCUUCACGAUUAAAACCAAACAUUCUUCAUUAAAGUAAGUUAAAGUUUUUACAUCAUUAUAUUUUAAACA